GACGAACGCUGGCGGCGUGCUUAACACAUGCAAGUCGAACGGAAAGGCCUCUUUCGGGGGGUACUCGAGUGGCGAACGGGUGAGUAACACGUGAGUAACCUGCCCUUGACUUUGGGAUAACUUCAGGAAACUGGGGCUAAUACCGGAUAGGAGCUCCUGCUGCAUGGUGGGGGUUGGAAAGUUUCGGCGGUUGGGGAUGGACUCGCGGCUUAUCAGCUUGUUGGUGGGGUAGUGGCUUACCAAGGCUUUGACGGGUAGCCGGCCUGAGAGGGUGACCGGCCACAUUGGGACUGAGAUACGGCCCAGACGCCUACGGGAGGCAGCAGUGGGGAAUAUUGCACAAGGGGUGGAAGCCGGAUGCAGCAACGCCGUGGGCGGGAUGACGGCCUUCGGGUUGGAAACCGCUUUCGCUCAUGACGAAGCUUUGUGUGACGGUAGUGGGUAAAGAAGCACCGGCUAACUACGUG
RNAcentral lists this ribosomal RNA (467 nucleotides) under uncultured bacterium. RNAcentral's name for it is "partial 16S ribosomal RNA". It matches the Rfam family "Bacterial small subunit ribosomal RNA", at positions 28 to 507 of the family's 1533-position model. The record is from RNAcentral.